CCUACGAGAGGCAGCAGUGGGGAAUAUUGCGCAAUGGGCGAAAGCCUGACGCAGCGACGCCGCGUGAGGGAUGAAGGUCUUCGGAUCGUAAACCUCUGUCAGCAGGGAAGAACGGUCACUGUGCUAAUCAGCAGUGAAUUGACGGUACCUGCAAAGGAAGCACCGGCUAACUCCGUGCCAGCAGCCGCGGUAAUACGGAGGGUGCGCGCGUUAAUCGGAAUUACUGGGCGUAAAGCGCUCGUUGGCGGUAUGUCAAGUCAAGGGUGAAAUCCCCGGGCUCAACGUGGGAACUGCCUGUGAAACUGGCAAACUGGAGUGUGUGAGAGGAUAGUGGAAUUCCAGGUGUAGGAGGGAAAUCCGUAGAUAUCUGGAGGAACAUCAGUGGCGAAGGCGACUAUCUGGCAGAUAACUGACGCUGAGGAGCGAAAGCGUGGGUAGCAAACAGGAUUAGAUACCCUUGUAGUC
RNAcentral lists this ribosomal RNA (465 nucleotides) under uncultured bacterium. RNAcentral describes it as "partial 16S ribosomal RNA". It matches the Rfam family "Bacterial small subunit ribosomal RNA", at positions 338 to 795 of the family's 1533-position model. The record is from RNAcentral.